This 71-nucleotide non-coding RNA is filed under the name unclassified sequences. The record is from RNAcentral.
ACUCUAAACCAGCCGGAUACAAUAAAUUGGGUUCCGAGAGUUCAAAGCCUCUACAAAUUGGUGAUGAGAGU